GAUGAACGCUGGCGGCGUGCCUAAUACAUGCCAGUCGAGCGAACAGACGAGGAGCUUGCUCCUCUGACGUUAGCGGCGGACGGGUGAGUAACACGUGGAUAACCUACCUAUAAGACUGGGAUAACUUCGGGAAACCGGAGCUAAUACCGGAUAAUAUAUUGAACCGCAUGGUUCAAUAGUGAAAGACGGUUUUGCUGUCACUUAUAGAUGGAUCCGCGCCGCAUUAGCUAGUUGGUAAGGUAACGGCUUACCAAGGCAACGAUGCGUAGCCGACCUGAGAGGGUGAUCGGCCACACUGGAACUGAGACACGGUCCAGACUCCUACGGGAGGCAGCAGUAGGGAAUCUUCCGCAAUGGGAGAAAGCCUGACGGAGCAACGCCGCGUGAGUGAUGAAGGUCUUCGGAUCGUAAAACUCUGUUAUUAGGGAAGAACAAAUGUGUAAGUAACUAUGCACGUCUUGACGGUACCUAAUCAGAAAGCCACGGCUAACUACGUG
This 497-nucleotide ribosomal RNA is filed under the name uncultured bacterium. RNAcentral's name for it is "partial 16S ribosomal RNA". It matches the Rfam family "Bacterial small subunit ribosomal RNA", at positions 28 to 507 of the family's 1533-position model. The record is from RNAcentral.